RNAcentral lists this ribosomal RNA (464 nucleotides) under Vreelandella stevensii. Its description in RNAcentral is "partial 16S ribosomal RNA". It matches the Rfam family "Bacterial small subunit ribosomal RNA", at positions 338 to 795 of the family's 1533-position model. The record is from RNAcentral. Lineage: Bacteria; Pseudomonadati; Pseudomonadota; Gammaproteobacteria; Oceanospirillales; Halomonadaceae.
CCUACGGGGGCUGCAGUGGGGAAUAUUGGACAAUGGGGGCAACCCUGAUCCAGCCAUGCCGCGUGUGUGAAGAAGGCCCUCGGGUUGUAAAGCACUUUCAGUGAGGAAGAACGCCUGGUGGUUAAUACCCAUCAGGAAAGACAUCACUCACAGAAGAAGCACCGGCUAACUCCGUGCCAGCAGCCGCGGUAAUACGGAGGGUGCGAGCGUUAAUCGGAAUUACUGGGCGUAAAGCGCGCGUAGGUGGCUUGAUAAGCCGGUUGUGAAAGCCCCGGGCUCAACCUGGGAACGGCAUCCGGAACUGUCAAGCUAGAGUGCAGGAGAGGAAGGUAGAAUUCCCGGUGUAGCGGUGAAAUGCGUAGAGAUCGGGAGGAAUACCAGUGGCGAAGGCGGCCUUCUGGACUGACACUGACACUGAGGUGCGAAAGCGUGGGUAGCAAACAGGAUUAGAUACCCGUGUAGUC